GAUUGUAUUUGCUACAUUGUAUCAUGCAGCACAUUUCUGGCACUAUAAUUUUGGAGAAAGAAAAAAAAGCACUAAUGAGAUCUGAACAGAUCCUCAACAGGCUGAAAACAAAUACAAAACACGAUGUAUUUACUAAGAAGCUAACAGCUGUGAAAUAGGUAGUGUGACCAGCAUCUUUACUACUACUAUUGACAUAGAAACUGACGAUAUUCCUGAAAAACAGAUGGGCUUUGUAUCACUCAGGGGAGGAAGCUACACCCUAAAGGCCUUUCUAAUACUGCUCCAUAUAGAAAAUCCCCUAGAGGAGGCUUUUAGAAGGAGGAAGUGAGAAUAAACUAUGGCAAUAGAUCCCCUGCAAUACAGUUCUAGAAGACUUAAAAAAAUCCAUUUGUAUGACCUAGCCUAUAGUAAAGCCAUGCUAGAGAAUAUGGUGUAGCACAAUCUAAUUUCAAUGAAUUCUUGUAAAAGCAUGGAUGUCCUCUAUAAACCCUCUUGAUGAUGAAAACAGCGUUAUAUAUGAAGAUAAGCAAAAGACUUCUAUGCUGCUGGAGCAGUAUCUUGAAGUUGUCAAUUACAGAGAUCUUAAAGUCAGGCUUUGUCAUGGAGAUGAACUUGGGUAAAGAAAAGAAGAGUGCUAUUCUCAAAGUCCUGUCACUUCCAGAUAAAGUAAAAAAAAGGAAAAGCCAGAGAUGAGGGCCAGGUGAUUAAGAGCCAAAAUACUCUGAAGUCAAAAGUAUCCAAGUCUACUGAAGUUGUGAACUAGCUCCAUCAGGAGAGGCCAUUCUGCUCCAGCAUGGAAGCUGUUAACCUGAGUUUGAAAUCCAAAGUCCAGAACCCUCUCAGUGAUGGGAAAAGAAAGCCAGAUACCAUUAUUGAGUGCUAUGGCUUCCCUGAGAAAUGCCUUUCUUUGCCUCCCCUGUACAACUGCAUUUUUGAAGGGGUCUCUUGUAAUUAUUAAUAUGAAUUUGUUCCAGAAAAAGUCCCAGGAUGACAUCUGAGAAAAUGUCUUUGAGAGAUAAAGAGUCAUUGCUAGACAGCAGUGUAUCUGGAAAACUCAGAAGAGUACAAAGGGCUCAGAAGAAGAGGCAAUCAAGAACUGAAAAUAUUACUCAGAUAAAGAGGAAAUGAUCAUGAAAGAUGAGGUUGGGGACCAUAAUUAUUAGAGCUUUAAAAACUGUUCAAAGAUUUAAAACACUGUAAAAGUGAGGAAUGUGGAAG
This 1218-nucleotide unclassified non-coding RNA is filed under the name Homo sapiens (human). Its description in RNAcentral is "partial bucky ball-like RNA". Lineage: Eukaryota; Metazoa; Chordata; Mammalia; Primates; Hominidae. The record is from RNAcentral.